UAGGGAAUCUUCCACAAUGGACGCAAGUCUGAUGGAGCAACGCCGCGUGAGUGAAGAAGGUUUUCGGACCGUAAAGCUCUGUUGUUGGUGAAGAAGGAUAGAGGUAGUAACUGGCCUUUAUUUGACGGUAAUCAACCAGAAAGUCACGGCUAACUACGUGCCAGCAGCCGCGGUAAUCGUAGGUGGCAAGCGUUGUCCGGAUUUAUUGGGCGUAAAGCGAGCGCAGGCGGAAGAAUAAGUCUGAUGUGAAAGCCCUCGGCUUAACCGAGGAAUUGCAUCGGAAACUGUUUUCUUGAGUGCAGAAGAGGAGAGUAGAACUCCAUGUGUAGCGGUGGAAUGCGUAGAUAUAUGGAAGAAUACCAGUGGCGAAGGCGGCUCUCUGGUCUGCAACUGACGCUGAGGCUCGAAAGCAUGGGUAGCGAACAGGAUUAGAUACCCUGGUAGUCCAUGCCGUAAACGAUGAGUGCUAAGUG
This 473-nucleotide ribosomal RNA is filed under the name uncultured bacterium. Its description in RNAcentral is "partial 16S ribosomal RNA". It matches the Rfam family "Bacterial small subunit ribosomal RNA", at positions 355 to 822 of the family's 1533-position model. The record is from RNAcentral.